This 308-nucleotide ribosomal RNA is filed under the name uncultured bacterium. Its description in RNAcentral is "partial 16S ribosomal RNA". It matches the Rfam family "Bacterial small subunit ribosomal RNA", at positions 505 to 807 of the family's 1533-position model. The record is from RNAcentral.
GAGACAGCAGCCGCCGCGGGAAUACGGAGGGUGCAAGCGUUAUCCGGAUUUAUUGGGUUUAAAGGGUCCGUAGGCGGAUCUGUAAGUCAGUGGUGAAAUCUCACAGCUUAACUGUGAAACUGCCAUUGAUACUGCAGGUCUUGAGUAAAUUUGAAGUGGCUGGAAUAAGUAGUGUAGCGGUGAAAUGCAUAGAUAUUACUUAGAACACCAAUUGCGAAGGCAGGUCACUAAGAUUUAACUGACGCUGAUGGACGAAAGCGUGGGGAGCGAACAGGAUUAGAUACCCCAGUAGUCCCUGUCUCUUAUAC